RNAcentral lists this long non-coding RNA (1109 nucleotides) under Anolis carolinensis (green anole). RNAcentral describes it as "lncRNA (ENSACAG00000034876.1)". Lineage: Eukaryota; Metazoa; Chordata; Lepidosauria; Squamata; Anolidae. The record is from RNAcentral.
AUGAAUUUCCACGCUGGGUUCUCCAGAUGUUAUGAACUUUGUUCUUAUCAAAUAUUUUCAAUUGUUUAUACCAUUCAUGAUUCCCCUUUAUGCAAUGUAACUCACUUUUAUGGAUUCUUCCUUAUUUCCAUGAAAUCUAUCUAUCUGCCUAUAUGUAUUUGUACUCUUUGGGAUCCCCGGAAAAUAUGUAUUUUUCCCAGCAUGGAAAUUCAUAAAAGUGGAGUUUUAGCAGCAUGAUUUUACAAUUCAUGAAGUUAGCCCAACGAUUAGAAAUUCAUAUAACAGUGAUUCAUGAGGGUGUCCAGGUUCAUAGAAUAUGAAAAUUCACGGAUACAUUGGGAAAAGAGUUCAUCUGUGGUGGAAGGAAUUCAUAGAAAUAGCAUGGGGAAGAGGUACAUGUGAGUUGCAGUCUUUGGAAGUAUAGGAUUUCAUAAGUUCAGGGGUAGGUCUGGGGAAGAGUGUUCUUCUCAUUCAUAAAAUUAUGAAGGUGUGAAUGAAACGUGGAGGGCGCCCGUCCAGGCACCCUCCUGGCAGCUGUAGAGAGGGUGAAGGUCCUUGGAGAACUAUGUCUCCCCAGCGGGAGAGCGAUCCCCCAUCCACAGUUCACAGAAAAGGACCGGUGAUCUCUUACACCCAUCCCGCGGGUCGCGGGGAGAGGAAAGUCCGGGAUAAGGCUGGAAAAGAGCAGUCUGGCUUGGAAAGAGCAGUCAGUUCCGUUUGACAGUCAGCUGAUGAGGUGCCGAGAACUGGACCGAUUUUGGUUACGCUGGUGGUCCUUGGGUCAGGAGCCUUAGGAAGGGUUAGAACUAAAAGGAGAGCGUGCUAGGGGUAAUUUUGAUAAAGAUAUGAGCCAAUUUGUAUCGUCCGCCGUAUUAACCUAUGGCGGAGGAGCCUCAGCCAGAGUUUAAAGGACGGACGGGUUAGAGAGAGAGAGAGAGGGGGAGGAUUGCAUGUAAAAGAAGGAGUCAAGGAAAGACACAAAAUAACCAGAUAGAGAGUGCUACUGUUAUAAAAUGUAUGCUACUUUUAUUGGGGGGAUUUGUUACAUAGUUCAGGGAAGGGGAAAGUGAAGAAAAAAAAAAGAUCUUUUAAUAAUAGUCUGCUGCGGU